Molecule: long non-coding RNA, 168 nt
Organism: Leopardus geoffroyi (Geoffroy's cat)
Lineage: Eukaryota; Metazoa; Chordata; Mammalia; Carnivora; Felidae
Exons: 2
Source: RefSeq, a predicted model, not a curated record
UAUAAACAUUGGGGUGCAUGUACCCCUUCGAUUCUGUAUUUUUUAUUUUGGGGUAGAUACCUAGUAAUACGAUUUCUGGAUCAUAGGGUAGUUCUGUUUUUAACUUUUUGAGGAAACUCCAUACUGUUUUCCAGAGUGGCUGCACCAGUUUGCAUUCCUUCCAACAGU